GACAGAGGGUGCGAACGUUGUUCGGAAUUACUGGGCGUAAAGCGCGUGUAGGCUGUCGUGCAAGUCGGGUGUGAAAGCCCAGGGCUCAACCCUGGAAGUGCACUCGAAACUGCAAGACUUGAGUAUCGGAGAGGGUGGCGGAAUUCUCGGUGUAGAGGUGAAAUUCGUAGAUAUCGAGAGGAACACCAGUGGCGAAGGCGGCCACCUGGACGAUUACUGACGCUGAGACGCGAAAGCGUGGGGAGCAAACAGG
RNAcentral lists this ribosomal RNA (253 nucleotides) under uncultured bacterium. Its description in RNAcentral is "partial 16S ribosomal RNA". It matches the Rfam family "Bacterial small subunit ribosomal RNA", at positions 524 to 776 of the family's 1533-position model. The record is from RNAcentral.